Molecule: ribosomal RNA, 220 nt
Filed under: uncultured bacterium
Lineage: Bacteria
Description: partial 16S ribosomal RNA
Rfam family: Bacterial small subunit ribosomal RNA
Source: RNAcentral
UAAUGUAUGGGGAUCUGCCCGAUAGAGGGGAAUAACUACUGGAAACGGUGGCUAAUACCGCAUAAUGUCUACGGACCAAAGCAGGGGCUCUUCGGACCUUGCACUAUCGGAUGAACCCAUAUGGGAUUAGCUAGUAGGUGGGGUAAAGGCUCACCUAGGCGACGAUCUCUAGCUGGUCUGAGAGGAUGAUCAGCCACACUGGAACUGAGACACGGCCCAG